RNAcentral lists this ribosomal RNA (255 nucleotides) under uncultured bacterium. RNAcentral's name for it is "partial 16S ribosomal RNA". It matches the Rfam family "Bacterial small subunit ribosomal RNA", at positions 524 to 776 of the family's 1533-position model. The record is from RNAcentral.
UACGUAGGGUGCGAGCGUUGUCCGGAAUUAUUGGGCGUAAAGAGCUUGUAGGCGGUUUGUCGCGUCUGCCGUGAAAAUCCGGGGCUCAACCCCGGACUUGCGGUGGGUACGGGCAGACUAGAGUGUGGUAGGGGGAGACUGGAAUUCCUGGUGUAGCGGUGAAAUGCGCAGAUAUCAGGAGGAACACCGAUGGCGAAGGCAGGUCUCUGGGCCACUACUGACGCUGAGAAGCGAAAGCGUGGGGGAGCGAACAGG